Molecule: small RNA, 250 nt
Filed under: Arabidopsis thaliana (thale cress)
Lineage: Eukaryota; Viridiplantae; Streptophyta; Magnoliopsida; Brassicales; Brassicaceae
Description: ATSL190990
Source: RNAcentral
UUUAAUUAAGGGAACAAAAUGGAUAUAUAACUUAGUAUAUGCAGAUUUUUUUUUUUUAGAAAAUGACAGCCAUCAAAAGGCGCGCAGCCAAAAUGGAUAUAUAACUUAGUAUAUGCAGAUUUUUUUUUUUUUUUGCUUUUUUAUCUCUUUAAGAAGAAAAAAAAAGUUAAACAUUUUCUCAACAUGUAAACAUCUGAUCGACAGACUUGACAUAUGACACAAUCUUAUGAAUUAACCAUAUUUUAUAUAA